GGUGAUCUGCUGAUGUGGCGACGAACAGACUGUAAAUCUGCCGGCUCAGCCUUCCUAGGUUCGAAUCCUAGCGCCGCCA
This 79-nucleotide transfer RNA is filed under the name Streptomyces thermoviolaceus. RNAcentral's name for it is "tRNA-Tyr". The record is from RNAcentral. RNAcentral also lists the same sequence under 1 other name. Lineage: Bacteria; Bacillati; Actinomycetota; Actinomycetes; Kitasatosporales; Streptomycetaceae.